AGUGAACGCUGGCGGUAGGCCUAACACAUGCAAGUCGAACGGCAGCACAGAGGAGCUUGCUCCUUGGGUGGCGAGUGGCGGACGGGUGAGGAAUACAUCGGAAUCUACUCUGUCGUGGGGGAUAACGUAGGGAAACUUACGCUAAUACCGCAUACGACCUACGGGUGAAAGCAGGGGAUCUUCGGACCUUGCGCGAUUAAAUGAGCCGAUGUCGGAUUAGCUAGUUGGCGGGGUAAAGGCCCACCAAGGCGACGAUCCGUAGCUGGUCUGAGAGGAUGAUCAGCCACACUGGAACUGAGACACGGUCCAGACUCCUACGGGAGGCAGCAGUGGGGAAUAUUGGACAAUGGGCGCAAGCCUGAUCCAGCCAUACCGCGUGGGUGAAGAAGGCCUUCGGGUUGUAAAGCCCUUUUGUUGGGAAAGAAAUCCAGCUGGUUAAUACCCGGUUGGGAUGACGGUACCCAAAGAAUAAGCACCGGCUAACUUCGUGCCAGCCGCCGCUGUAA
This 506-nucleotide ribosomal RNA is filed under the name uncultured bacterium. RNAcentral's name for it is "partial 16S ribosomal RNA". It matches the Rfam family "Bacterial small subunit ribosomal RNA", at positions 29 to 523 of the family's 1533-position model. The record is from RNAcentral.